UGGGGAAUAUUGGACAAUGGGGGCAACCCUGAUCCAGCCAUGCCGCGUGAGUGAUGAAGGCCUUAGGGUUGUAAAGCUCUUUCACCCGGGACGAUAAUGACGGUACCGGGAGAAGAAGCCCCGGCUAACUUCGUGCCAGCAGCCGCGGUAAUACGAAGGGGGCUAGCGUUGUUCGGAAUCACUGGGCGUAAAGCGCACGUAGGCGGACCGUUAAGUCGGAGGUGAAAUCCUGGGGCUCAACCCCAGAACUGCCUUCGAUACUGGCGGUCUCGAGUCCGGAAGAGGUGAGUGGAACUGCCAGUGUAGAGGUGAAAUUCGUAGAUAUUGGCAAGAACACCAGUGGCGAAGGCGGCUCACUGGUCCGGUACUGACGCUGAGGUGCGAAAGCGUGGGGAGCAGACAGGAUUAGAUACCCUGGUAGUCCACGCCGUAAACGAUGAAUGCCAGCCGUCGGGCAGCAUGCUGUUCGGUGGCGCAGCUAACGCUUUAAGCAUUCCGCCUGGGGAGUACGGUCGCAAGAUUAAAACUUAAAGGAAUUGACGGGGUCAUAGCUGUUUCCU
Molecule: ribosomal RNA, 560 nt
Filed under: uncultured bacterium
Lineage: Bacteria
Description: partial 16S ribosomal RNA
Rfam family: Bacterial small subunit ribosomal RNA
Source: RNAcentral